AUUCCAGCUCCAAUAGCGUAUAUUAAUGUUGUUGCAGUUAAAAAGCUCGUAGUUGGAUUUCUGGUGGGAGCGGCCGGUCCGCCGUAAGGUGUGUACUUGGUUGUCUCCUGUCAUCCUUGUGGGAACUGCUCUGGCAUUAAGUUGUCGGGGUUAGGGAACACAUCGUUUACUGUGAAAAAAUUAGAGUGUUUAAAGCAGGCUUAUGCCGUUGAAUACAUUAGCAUGGAAUAAUAAGAUAGGACUUUGGCGUCUAUUUAGUUGGUUUGCACACCAAGGUAAUGAUUAAUAGGGAUAGUUGGGGGUAUUCGUAUUUAACUGUCAGAGGUGAAAUUCUUGGAUUUGUUAAAGACGGCCUACUGCGAAAGCAUCUGCCAUGGAUGUUUUCAUCG
This 389-nucleotide ribosomal RNA is filed under the name Stramenopiles sp. MAST-1C. RNAcentral's name for it is "partial small subunit ribosomal RNA". It matches the Rfam family "Eukaryotic small subunit ribosomal RNA", at positions 582 to 975 of the family's 1831-position model. The record is from RNAcentral.